AAUACGCCCCGUCGUCAUCUACAGCCGUAGGUGACACGUCAUUGCUCCCAUAGAAAUCCAUCUGCGCGACACACAAUAGAUUGAUAAGGACAUCCAACGAAAACAAUCUGUAUAAUAAUAGAGCCUAUCCAAAGCGUGAAUUUCCCAUUAGAAGAUUAUUCUAUCGAACUAAUAACCAUAUAUUGUUGAACUAUUAGCACAAUUAGACUAGUUACGUGAACUCCUUGUCGCCGUCACCAAGAAUUUAGCUAUUUACAGUGGUGUAAAGGUGAGCGAAGAUAAAAACAUAUCGACAUGCUGUAGUAGAAAUAUUAUGUUUACUGCUCCUUUGUUCACUUAGGCUAGACAAACCAUCAAAUAUUUGCCAGUAGUAACAUAUUCCCAAUGCUAGAACUAAGCUUAUAAGCUAGCACUAGAGGUAAGCGCUGUUAUAAUCAAUUAAUUUACCGUUCUGAAAUCAUUAAUGCAUACAUACAUUUCAAACCAGGGAUUCUCAAACGGAAAACGAAGAGAAACUAGUUGCGUGAGGAGAGAAUUACCGAAUUGAUCACUAACAGUAAGCCAAAUUUCAUUUCCUAAAUGUAAGCCGCUAACAAUCUCUUUUGCCAGGAAUUUUGUAAUUUUUAUCAUCAAUAAAUUCACGGAAUUACGAUCAUAGUUCUUCGACUCCGCAACAGUUUACAAAAUUCUGUUAAUAUGUCGAAAAAGUCGACGAAUCUUGCAGCGUCUCAGUUCACGGAGCCACGGGAAAGUACAUACAACGCCAUCGAUGGGCUCACGGCAAAUAGCGCAGGUUGUGUACCCACUGUCGUCAACUUGCUCCCUCCGAGCUCUGGAAACCAGGUAAAUGUUGAUGUUACCGAUACUAAUACAGUUUGUGGAGCUACAGUAAACGUAGCCAACCUUGUCGGCCAGAGGAACACCGGUGCCGCGACCAAUGUCCGUAGGAAUCCAUUACGCGAAGUCCGGAGAAAUGUAGACCAUCAGUGCCAGCUAUGUGAUAACCGUGACAAUCAGGAGAUGGUGCAAUGUGAUGGAUGUGAUAGGUGGUUCCACUUCGUAUGUGUCCAAGUUACGGAGGAUAUCGCCAAUGUCAGUUGGAUUUGUCCGAUUUGCAAAACUGCAUCUUUCAUCGCCCUCCCCACCAACUCAAAACUUCAGUCAAGUGUCCAGCACAGCCAAAUUCCACCCCCACGAAAGACCGUAUCAAAGCGAUCAGCGAGCAAGGCAAGCUCUCGGAGUGAGGCAAGAAGACUGAAAGACCUCGAAUUGAAGAAGCUUGAGGAAGAGUUCGAGAUGGAGAAGCGCUUCCUGGAGCGAAAGUAUAAACUACUAAUGGAGUGCGGUAGCGAAACAUCAUCAAUGACUGAGGAAUACGAAGAUGACAGGCUGUCGAAGAUCGAGGAGUGGUUAGCCGAAACGGGCCGCCAUGGUGAAGCUGAGGAUUCCGGAUUAGCAGAAGCAGCAAUUGAGCAAACAUCGAACAGUUCGAGCAAGCUCGGGGAGCAUCAGACUCCGGUUGUCAAGCGAAGCGCAAUUCCAUCGAUUCUCCGAACCAACCAACAGGCUCAACGUCCUCAAGAUGAUCUACGUCUGCUCCUAGUAGAACAACGCCAUCAGCAAUGUCAAGCAGGUUUCUCGGGUUCCAUUCCGGAUGCUCAGCACAGCCGUCCUCUGCGAGGCGUACAGUAUUCUAGCGGUACACGACAGCCGUUUCCACUCGAACAAAUUCGGAGCGAGCGUCCUCGAGUUGAAGGUCUACCAGAACAGUUAGCUCGUCAACGGUUGUCUGAUCACCCGAUGUUGGCAUCUUCUGGCACGCGCCACCGUCGACUUACCAGCGAAGGUCAAGUAGAGCAUCAACACUCACAAGCGCCCACCAGGGCAACGAUAACAUCAGCUGUGAACCCAGGUAGGCUAAGCGAGUUCAUCCCCGGCCAGCGUUCAACCCCGAUCCUUCCACCUCUGGUCGAGCCCGGCCAGUCAGCUAUAAAUGACGAAACCGUUUGCAUUCUCAAUCGGAGUCAAAUUGCAGCACGUCAGGCGGUUUCUAGAGAUCUACCAGAUUUCGACGGAUCGUUGGAGGAUUGGCCUCUGUUUUUUGCCACGUUUAACUCGUCCACGCAGAUGUGUGGGUUUACGAAUGAAGAAAAUAUGCUUCGGUUGCGCAAGUGCCUGAAAGGAAAGGCACUAGAGGCGGUAAAAUGCGAAUUACUACACCCGUCAAAUGUUGCUGACAUCAUAUCAACGUUAAAAAUGCUAUACGGACGACCAGAUGCCAUCAUUCAGUCUAUCAUCAAAAGGAUCAAACACCUUCCCCCGCCAAACACGGAAAAGCUUGAAACCUUGGUGACCUUUGCACUAACAGUAAAGAACAUGGUUGCGACAAUUCAAGCUUGUAAUGUCGACGACUAUCUAUUCAACGCAGCUCUUCGUUUCGAGCUAAUAGAGCGUCUACCGCCGUCUCUCAAGCUGGACUGGGCAAGGUUCGCCAGAAGUAAUCCCAACCCGAAUCUCGCUGAUCUUAGUGCCUGGCUGUAUACCAUAGCCGAAGAUGCCUGCACAGUAAUGGCAACAACAUGUACCGAUCCACGAAGCCGAGGUGUUAAAAAGGACGGAUUUCUGAAUUUUCAUUCCGAGUCGGAAUCAAGCAACGAUCCGGUAGUAGAGUCAGCGAACAUGCCGAAGUCCACAAUAGGAAUGGAUCAUUCUAAAACUAUGUGUGUGGUUUGUAAAGGAAGCUGCGCAUCUGUUGUAAACUGCAGCAGAUUCGAGGAACUAAGCUACGAUUCAAGAUGGGCGAUAGUGAAAGAAUGUAAGUUGUGUCGCAAAUGUCUUCGAAAGCACAAUGGGUCAUGCCGACUGCUACAAAAGUGCGGAACAAACGGAUGCGUCUUUCAACACCAUCCGUUACUGCAUAAACCGGAUAACCGCAAUCUCAAGCCAUCAACUACAACGCCGACUGAAGUUCCUGCGCCAACAGAAGCAGAACCAAGCUGUAAUCUCCACCAAGGCCAAUCGGCCGUGCUGUUUCGAAUCGUUCCAGUCAUGUUGUACGGACCAACGAAAACAGUGCGCACGUAUGCGUUCAUUGAUGACGGAUCCGAGCUCACCCUUAUUGAGCAAAGUCUUGCUAAUGAACUGGGAGUCGAAGGUCCGAAGAAGUCAUUGUGCUUAAAGUGGACUGGAGGGACCCGCAAGGUAGAAGAUGACUCGCAACAAGUAAAUCUUCAAAUAUCAGGAGUCCGCAGUUCAGCAAGGUUCGACUUGUCGGGUAUAAAUACGCUUUCGACACUACAAAUUCGCCCGCAGACGUUGUUACUAUCCGAGAUGCAGAAAAGGUUCCCCUACCUCGAUGGGCUACCACUGGAAGAGUAUCGGGACGUUAGCCCACGGCUCCUCAUCGGUUUGGACUACGCAAAUCUCGGGCACGGAAUCAAAGGCCGAGAGGGAAAGAGGAAUGAACCAAUAGCCGUGAAAACUCGCUUGGGUUGGAUGGUAUACGGAAACUGCACGGGAAAAGAAUCAACUGACGGAUAUAUGAACUAUCACAGCGUUCAAAGAUGUGACUGUAAUCAAGAAGAUGAUGACAAUUUACACAAGGCGAUGAAGUCCUACUUCACACUCGAUAGCAUGGGAAUUGCGAAGCCGAACAAACUUCUCCUUUCUCGAGAUGAUCAGCGUGCACAAACAUUGUUAGAAUCUUUAACUCAUCUAACAAACAACCGAUACGAAUCCGGCCUUCUAUGGAGAUACGACCAUGUUCGAUUGCCUGACAGCAGACCAAUGGCUCUACGACGUUGGAAAUGUUUGGAAAAUCGGAUGAGUAAAGACCCAGUGCUAGCUGGAGCGCUCAAGGAUAAGAUUCAGGAUCACGUAGAUAAAGGAUAUAUCAGAAAACUGACAGCAGAAGAGCUUCGAAGGCCAUACGAGCGAGUGUGGUAUCUUCCUAUCUUUGUUGUCGUCAAUCCGAACAAACCGGGUAAAAUACGACUUGUGUGGGAUGCGGCUGCUACAGUCCAUGGCGUAUCAUUGAAUUCUGUUCUGCUGAAAGGGCCGGAUCAGUUAACGUCCCUGCUGUCUGUUCUGAUCCGCUUUCGUGAGUUCCGAGUGGCGAUAUGUGGUGAUAUUAAAGAAAUGUUUCACCAGGUGCAAAUACGGGAUGAGGAUCAACAUUGCCAACGAUUCUUUUGGAAAGGUGAAGAAGAUCAACCCAGCGUGUACGUCGUCCAGGUUAUGACUUUCGGCGCCUGUUGUUCGCCAAGUACUGCGCAACAUGUGAAGAACAGCAACGCAACGUGUUUUGAGCAAGAUCAUCCAGACGCAGUGGAAGCUAUCAUCAAAAGACACUAUGUCGACGAUAUGCUCACAAGUACGGAGACGGAGGAAGAGGCUCUGAAACUAGCGAGAGAGGUGAAAGAAAUCCACAGUCACGCCGGGUUCGAUAUUAGAAACUGGAUAUCCAACUCGAACUAUGUUCAAACGACGUUGAAGGAUACUUCGACGGAGGAGAAGAACAUGAACAUCGGAGAAGAUGCAGCUACAGAGAAAGUACUUGGAAUGUGGUGGAAUACGUCAACCGAUCACUUCACAUACAAGGUGUCCACGCAAUAUGAUGAAGACUUACUAUCCGGGAAACAUCGGCCAACGAAACGUGAAGUUCUUCGAACGUUGAUGAUGAUCUUCGAUCCUUUAGGCUUCAUCGCACAUCUACUGAUGUACCUCAAAGUCCUCCUGCAAGAAAUUUGGCGAACAGCGGUCGGAUGGGACGACCCUAUUGGAGAUGCACAGUUUGACAAAUGGCUGACAUGGCUCCAAGUGUUUCCAAAUAUUUGCACUGUUGAAGUUCCUCGAUGCUAUCGCUCGCUCACGUCGGUGAAAGCUGAAGUGGAACUUCAUACGUUCGUUGACGCUAGUGAGAGCGGGUUCGCCGCAGUAGUUUACCUUCGAUUCAAGGAAGCAGAUACGAUCGAAUGCGCUCUGGUUGGAGCAAAAACUAGAGUUGCUCCUCUCAAAUUUCUAUCUAUCCCACGGUCUGAACUACAAGCUGCCCUGCUCGGCGUCCGUCUGGCCGAUACAAUAUCGUCAUCCCUCUCGAUAAAAGCUAACAAGCGUCUCUUCUGGACGGAUUCCAAGGAUGUACUUUGUUGGUUAAGAUCCGACCACCGCCGAUACAGUCAAUUUGUAGCCUUCCGAGUCAGCGAAAUUUUGGAAUCGACUGACAUACAUGAAUGGCGAUGGAUUCCAACAAAACAGAACGUGGCCGAUGAGGGAACAAAGUGGAUGAAGGUUCCAGAUUUGUCCGCUAAUAGUCGCUGGUUUCAUGGACCGGAUUUUCUCUGGCAAGAUGAGCACAAUUGGCCCGAAGCGCGGCACUUCGAGAAAGCGACUGACGAAGAACUUCGUCCCCACUUGCUCUUUCAUCAAACUCCGAAUCAGCCAGUGAUUAACCCUCAAAACUUCUCGAAGUGGAUACCUCUUCUUCGGCAAACUGCAUAUAUCUUCCGCUACGUUGACAACCUGAAGCGUAGUAUGGAGAAGGGACAACGUAUCGUGGGACCACUAACACAAGAGGAGUUAACAAAGGCAGAACAUUAUUUGUUCCGGGUAGCACAGUCAGAAGUUUACGCCGACAACAUCGCAACGUUAGCCGCCAAUCGUUCAUUGAAGUGUUCGUCAAGGCGAAUCAUACGAAACGAUCCUCUGUUUCGGAGUGCGUUUGCCGAUGAAGCCGGUGUAGCACGUGUGAAAGGGCGAACAAAGGCGUGUGCGUUUAUCGGUCGUGAUGCUGCCGAACCCAUCAUUCUCCCUCGUCAACAUUACAUUACGCAUCUGAUCAUAGCUGACGCCCACGAACGAUAUGGUCAUCAAAACCAUAAUACGAUCAUCAAUGAGCUACUCCAACGCUAUCGGAUCCCUCGACUGAAAGCAACGUACUACACUGUGAGGCGAAAUUGUCAGCAUUGUAAGAAUCAGCUCGCAAAGCCAAAACCGCCAGCGAUGGCUGAUUUACCUCAAGCUCGACUGGCAGCGUUUAGUCGACCUUUCACCUAUACGGGGAUAGAUUACUUCGGCCCGAUUCUAGUAUCGGUAGGCAGACAUUCCGAAAAACGGUGGGGGGUUCUCGCCACUUGUUUAACUACUCGCGCCAUCCACCUACAAGUCGCGCACAGUUUAACAACCGACUCCUGUGUUAUGGCUAUCCGUAAUAUAAUGGCCAGGAGGGGAACCCCGGCUGUUAUUUACAGUGAUCGAGGCACUAACUUCCGAGCUACCAGUAAGGAAUUGAAGGAAGCGAUCGAAAAUCUCGACUACGAUAAGUUGAGGAUGGAGUUCACCUCACCCCGCACCCAGUGGACCUUCAUACCACCGCUAUCCCCGCAUAUGGGUGGCGCGUGGGAGCGGCUAAUCCAAACUGUCAAGAAGAACCUGAACAUACUACAACCCAAUAGACUACCUACCGACGAGGUGCUGCUGAACGCGAUGGUAGAGGUCGAAAACAUCGUCAAUUCUCGACCGCUAACUGACAUCCCGAUCGACAAUGACAACUCUGCCGUGCUAACGCCCAAUCACUUCCUGUUGGGAUCAGCUAACGGUUUGAGGUCUUGGACACCAUUUGAUGACAGCCCGGUAUAUCUGAGGAACUGUUAUCAGCAAUCUCAGCGCAUUGCAGAUAUGUUCUGGAAGCAAUGGGUUCGCGACUAUUUGCCCACUAUUACUCGAAGAACCAAGUGGCAUACAUCAGCGACUCCGAUUGUUGUCGGGGAUAUUGUAGUAAUCGUGGAUCCAAAAUUCCCCCGAAACUGCUGGCCAAAGGGAAGAGUGAUUGCCACACACCCGUCCACCGAUGGACAAGUGCGCCGCGCAACUGUACAGACAGCAUCGGGAAUAUAUGAGCGGUCCACCGUAUCUCUAGCUGUGCUCGACGUAGGCGUUAGGACGAAUGCGCUUCCGGAACAUCCUUCGCACAUUCCGGGGGGGAGUGUUGAAUACGCCCCGUCGUCAUCUACAGCCGUAGGUGACACGUCAUUGCUCCCAUAGAAAUCCAUCUGCGCGACACACAAUAGAUUGAUAAGGACAUCCAACGAAAACAAUCUGUAUAAUAAUAGAGCCUAUCCAAAGCGUGAAUUUCCCAUUAGAAGAUUAUUCUAUCGAACUAAUAACCAUAUAUUGUUGAACUAUUAGCACAAUUAGACUAGUUACGUGAACUCCUUGUCGCCGUCACCAAGAAUUUAGCUAUUUACAGUGGUGUAAAGGCUAGACAAACCAUCAAAUAUUUGCCAGUAGUAACAUAUUCCCAAUGCUAGAACUAAGCUUAUAAGCUAGCACUAGAGGGAUUCUCAAACGGAAAACGAAGAGAAACUAGUUGCGUGAGGAGAGAAUUACCGAAUUGAUCACUAACAGUAAGCCAAAUUUCAUUUCCUAAAUGUAAGCCGCUAACAAUCUCUUUUGCCAGGAAUUUUGUAAUUUUUAUCAUCAAUAAAUUCACGGAAUUACGAUCAUAGUUCUUCGACUCCG
RNA transcript from Aedes albopictus (Asian tiger mosquito), 7518 nucleotides. RefSeq lists it as uncharacterized. NCBI's taxonomy places the organism in Eukaryota, Metazoa, Arthropoda, Insecta, Diptera, Culicidae. The record is from RefSeq and is a predicted model, not a curated record. The transcript has 3 exons.